This 366-nucleotide ribosomal RNA is filed under the name uncultured bacterium. RNAcentral's name for it is "partial 16S ribosomal RNA". The record is from RNAcentral.
CCGAACGUAAGGGCCGUGCUGAUUUGACGUCAUCCCCGCCUUCCUCGCAGCUUGCGCCGGCAGUCCACAUAGAGUCCCCACCAUAACGUGCUGGUAACUAUGUGCAGGGGUUGCGCUCGUUAUAGGACUUAACCUGACACCUCACGGCACGAGCUGACGACAACCAUGCAGCACCUCGUAUAAUGUUAUUGCUAACUAAUCUAAUCUCUUAAAUUAUUCAUCAUACGUUCAAGUUCGGGUAAGGUUCCUCGCGUAUCAUCGAAUUAAACCACAUGCUCCUCCGCUUGUGCGGGCCCCCGUCAAUUCCUUUGAGUUUCAACCCUUGCGAUCGUACUCCCCAGGUGGAUAACUUAUAUCUUUCAAUUC